Long non-coding RNA from Cygnus atratus (black swan), 151 nucleotides. RefSeq lists it as uncharacterized. NCBI's taxonomy places the organism in Eukaryota, Metazoa, Chordata, Aves, Anseriformes, Anatidae. The transcript has 3 exons. The record is from RefSeq and is a predicted model, not a curated record.
GUGCCUAGUGCAGUCUUGGACAGGGAAAUCCCCGUGUCACGGAGCAGUGAGGGAAGUAUUCCCAGGUGGCAUGGGUGAUGCUGGCUGUUCCUUUCGAGCUUGGAUCUAACUUCCAGGCUGAAACGCAGUGUGCAGUACAGGACAUCAAGAC